UGAACGCUGGCGGCGUGCCUAAUACAUGCAAGUCGAGCGAACAGACGAGGAGCUUGCUCCUCUGACGUUAGCGGCGGACGGGUGAGUAACACGUGGAUAACCUACCUAUAAGACUGGGAUAACUUCGGGAAACCGGAGCUAAUACCGGAUAAUAUAUUGAACCGCAUGGUUCAAUAGUGAAAGACGGUUUUGCUGUCACUUAUAGAUGGAUCCGCGCCGCAUUAGCUAGUUGGUAAGGUAACGGCUUACCAAGGCGACGAUGCGUAGCCGACCUGAGGGGGUGAUCGGCCACACUGGAACUGAGACACGGUCCAGACUCCUACGGGAGGCAGCAGUAGGGAAUCUUCCGCAAUGGGCGAAAGCCUGACGGAGCAACGCCGCGUGAGUGAUGAAGGUCUUCGGAUCGUAAAACUCUGUUAUUAGGGAAGAACAAAUGUGUAAGUAACUAUGCACGUCUUGACGGUACCUAAUCAGAAAGCCACGGCUAACUACGUG
Molecule: ribosomal RNA, 495 nt
Filed under: uncultured bacterium
Lineage: Bacteria
Description: partial 16S ribosomal RNA
Rfam family: Bacterial small subunit ribosomal RNA
Source: RNAcentral